This 382-nucleotide long non-coding RNA is filed under the name Mytilus galloprovincialis (Mediterranean mussel). The record is from RNAcentral. Lineage: Eukaryota; Metazoa; Mollusca; Bivalvia; Mytilida; Mytilidae.
CUGUUCAAACUCAUAAAUCCAUGGACAAAAACAAAAUCGGGGUAACAAACUAAAACUGAGAGAAACGCAUAAAUAUGAGAGGAGAACAACGACACAACACUACAAUGUAACACACACAGAAACGGACCAAGCAUCAGACAAAAUCCCACGAGAAUAACAAAUAUAACAUCAAAACCAAAUACAUGAAUUUGGGAUAGACAAGUACCGUGACACGUCUUAUCGCAAUGUCAAUUUACACUCAAAAAUAAGAGAAAACAAACGACGCAACGUUAAAUUGUAACACACAUAGAAACGAACUAUAAUAUAACAAUGGCCAUAUUCCUGACUUAGUACAGGACAUUUUUAAAGGAAAAAUGGUGGGUUGAACCUAGUUUUGUGGCAU